CCAUCCCUGACUGCAUGAACGAAAUUUUGGCCGCUAAAUUGAAAAAGUCUUGCAAGGCGGCGAAUACAAUUGCAAGAAGAGAAGAACCAAGAGCCGAGACCGCACGAUUCCCCUCCCUUCGUCCCAGAGCAAGGAGCCGCACGCCCGUCCCGCACUCGCCGCUGCGCAGCCUGGCGCGCACGCCGGGGGCACGCUCACCUGCUUCGCCGUGGCCUGGCUCGGAGAAACGCUGCUGGAGGGCACCGGAGCCUACCUGAGGAGUAUGAAUUUUGAUCGGUCACUUUUUAACAACGUGGUAAAUAACGGCUGAGGGUGACUCCGAGGCAGCUCGCAGCAGGUCACGUAUCCAGUCCCGCCUGUUCCCCCAGCAGCCCCAUGUGACGCCCACUCAGCGAGCGAGGGGCCCGGGGCGCACGGCGGCAAGACCCUCGGCCCGCCAGAGGCCACGGUCCCGACCGGCAGGACGGAGAGCCGCGCGAGAGAGGUCACUCACUGGGAACGGCGGACGCUGGCCCCGGCUCAGGGGCCCUGGUUUUGUUUUUUCUGGCUGGGGGUGAGCAACUGCACCCGCCGGGGGGAGGGUGUCAGCAGCGGGUUAGUUAUUAUCUGCUCUGGAGCGGAGCCUGGCACAUGGCAAACACUUGGGAAACGUUACUUAUUAGCUCCAUUCCACCUACUCCUGCGGAACAGUAUAAAGGGUGGCCAUGAACCUGGCCUGCCGGCGGAGGACUGGGCCUGGAGGAAUUCAGCCACUUGCCAAGAUCUCACGAGCACCGAGUAGCGAACCUUGAAUUGGAAAACAAGUCUGGCAGCUCCUCUUUGAGCUCACCAGGUGUGCACUCAAUGAAUGAGCUCACAGAACUUCCCGGAACACACUCCCUUCCCUGCCUCUCCCGCUCCCAACACAAAUGUCUGCUACGGCGCCAGGGCACAAAAAGACAGAACGUGACGCAAAGAGACGAACGGGCGUCUGUAGGGGGCACCCAGGCGAGGGGGGCUGUCGACAGAUCACACAGGGCCUCCCGGAGGACGGACGGACAGAGGGACGGGAAGGGGGCAGUGGGAGGCUGCGGGCAUGGCUGCUCAGAGACACGGAGGCCCGGCUGCUGCGGUGGCUGCUGACGCCAAGGACAUGAGUGACGGCGGGGGGGCGGUGCCGGGGCUGGAGGGCCGGGCUGGAAGGGGAGCGGGAGGCCCCACCUGGGCCCCAGAGUCCCGCCUCGGCGCUGCAGUUCUGGGGGCUGUGCGGCAGCUCGGGUCACGAGCAGUCAAAUAUUAAUCCUGAGGCCAGAUAGGAAGAGGACGAAAGUGCCGAAUUAAUCAUUAAUAAUGACCGUGGCAUUAAGAUUUAAUGUGUCACACGGCAGGACGCCGAAGUCAGCCGAGUCCCGGGGGUGGGGGGCGGGGCAGGGAGGGGGCGUACAGAAACCCAGGGCCCCCUGUCCCCUGUCCCCGUGGGCCGCGUGGCUGAGAGGGGCCCUCAGCCGCAAACACAGGAAGCAGCACCUACAAGGGCAAAAGUCACAGACACCUCCCGCCCUCAGCCAGCCGGCUGCCCGGUCAGGCCCCAGGGGCCAGUGCACUCGCUGAGACCUCGGGGCGUUCACCCGAUGGGAGGGGCUGCGCGCCACGCGGCCGCUCGCAGAUCUGGGGGGCCUCGGCCACGUUCGAGGAGGGUCCUGUCCAUCGUCGACGCUGGGCACGUCCUGUGCCGAUACUCGGUCGACACGUGAUAGCAGCUCACUGGAAGCUGUGCGGCACCAUCAGUGCCCGGAGCCGCA
Long non-coding RNA from Phyllostomus hastatus (greater spear-nosed bat), 1781 nucleotides. RefSeq lists it as uncharacterized. NCBI's taxonomy places the organism in Eukaryota, Metazoa, Chordata, Mammalia, Chiroptera, Phyllostomidae. The record is from RefSeq and is a predicted model, not a curated record. The transcript is spliced from 3 exons.